Molecule: ribosomal RNA, 447 nt
Filed under: uncultured bacterium
Lineage: Bacteria
Description: partial 16S ribosomal RNA
Rfam family: Bacterial small subunit ribosomal RNA
Source: RNAcentral
GUCCAGACUCCUACGGGAGGCAGCAGUGGGGGAUAUUGCACAAUGGGGGGAACCCUGAUGCAGCGACGCCGCGUGGGUGAAGGAGUGCUUCGGCAUGUAAAGCCCUAUCGGCAGGGAAGAAGCAAGACGGUACCUGACUAAGAAGCCCCGGCUAACUACGUGCCAGCAGCCGCGGGAAUACGUAGGGGGCAAGCGUUAUCCGGAUUUACUGGGUGUAAAGGGAGCGUAGACGGCAUAGCAAGUCUGAAGUGAAAGCCCGUGGCUCAACCGCGGAACUGCUUUGGAAACUGUUAAGCUGGAGUGUCGGAGAGGCAGGCGGAAUUCCUAGUGUAGCGGUGAAAUGCGUAGAUAUUAGGAGGAACACCAGUGGCGAAGGCGGCCUGCUGGACGAUGACUGACGCUGAGGCUCGAAAGCGUGGGGAGCAAACAGGAUUAGAUACCCUAGUA